Molecule: ribosomal RNA, 620 nt
Filed under: Streptomyces sp. CZA28
Lineage: Bacteria; Bacillati; Actinomycetota; Actinomycetes; Kitasatosporales; Streptomycetaceae
Description: bacterial SSU rRNA
Rfam family: Bacterial small subunit ribosomal RNA
Source: RNAcentral
GCCUGAUGCCGCGACGCCGCGAUGAGGGAUGACGGCCUUCGGGUUGUAAACCUCUUUCAGCAGGGAAGAAGCGAAAGUGACGGUACCUGCAGAAGAAGCGCCGGCUAACUACGUGCCAGCAGCCGCGGUAAUACGUAGGGCGCAAGCGUUGUCCGGAAUUAUUGGGCGUAAAGAGCUCGUAGGCGGCUUGUCACGUCGGUUGUGAAAGCCCGGGGCUUAACCCCGGGUCUGCAGUCGAUACGGGCAGGCUAGAGUGUGGUAGGGGAGAUCGGAAUUCCUGGUGUAGCGGUGAAAUGCGCAGAUAUCAGGAGGAACACCGGUGGCGAAGGCGGAUCUCUGGGCCAUUACUGACGCUGAGGAGCGAAAGCGUGGGGAGCGAACAGGAUUAGAUACCCUGGUAGUCCACGCCGUAAACGGUGGGAACUAGGUGUUGGCGACAUUCCACGUCGUCGGUGCCGCAGCUAACGCAUUAAGUUCCCCGCCUGGGGAGUACGGCCGCAAGGCUAAAACUCAAAGGAAUUGACGGGGGCCCGCACAAGCAGCGGAGCAUGUGGCUUAAUUCGACGCAACGCGAAGAACCUUACCAAGGCUUGACAUAUACCGGAAAGCAUCAGAGAUGG